RNAcentral lists this ribosomal RNA (439 nucleotides) under uncultured bacterium. Its description in RNAcentral is "partial 16S ribosomal RNA". It matches the Rfam family "Bacterial small subunit ribosomal RNA", at positions 339 to 795 of the family's 1533-position model. The record is from RNAcentral.
CUACGGGUGGCAGCAGUGGGGAAUAUUGCACAAUGGGGAAAACCCUGAUGCAGCAACGCCGCGUGGAGGAUGACACAUUUCGGUGCGUAAACUCCUUUUAUAUGAGAAGAUAAUGACGGUAUCAUAUGAAUAAGCUCCGGCUAACUCCGUGCCAGCAGCCGCGGUAAUACGGGGGGAGCAAGCGUUACUCGGAAUUACUGGGCGUAAAGCGCAUGUAGGCGGAUAGAAAAGUCAGAAGUGAAAUCCUAUAGCUUAACUAUAGAACUGCUUCUGAAACUCUCUAUCUAGAAUGUGGGAGAGGUAGAUGGAAUUUCUGGUGUAGGGGUAAAAUCCGUAGAGAUCAGAAGGAAUACCGAUUGCGAAGGCGAUCUACUGGAACAAUAUUGACGCUGAGAUGCGAAAGCGUGGGGAGCAAACAGGAUUAGAUACCCCGGUAGUC